Molecule: ribosomal RNA, 475 nt
Filed under: uncultured organism
Description: partial 16S ribosomal RNA
Rfam family: Bacterial small subunit ribosomal RNA
Source: RNAcentral
GUACACUCCUACGGGAGGCAGCAGUGGGGAAUUUUGGACAAUGGGCGAAAGCCUGAUCCAGCCAUGCCGCGUGCAGGAUGAAGGCCUUCGGGUUGUAAACUGCUUUUGUACGGAACGAAACGGCCUUUUCUACUAAAGAGGGCUAAUGACGGUACCGUAAGAAUAAGCACCGGCUAACUACGUGCCAGCAGCCGCGGUAAUACGUAGGGUGCAAGCGUUAAUCGGAAUUACUGGGCGUAAAGCGUGCGCAGGCGGUUAUGUAAGACAGUUGUGAAAUCCCCGGGCUCAACCUGGGAACUGCAUCUGUGACUGCAUAGCUAGAGUACGGUAGAGGGGGAUGGGAUUCCGCGUGUGGCAGUGAAAUGCGUAGAUAUGCGGAGGAACACCGAUGGCGAAGGCAAUCCCCUGGACCUGUACUGACGCUCAUGCACGAAAGCGUGGGGAGCAAACAGGAUUAGAAACCCCAGUAGUCCCA